ACGGAGGGUGCAAGCGUCAUUCGGAAUCAUUGGGUGUAAAGCGCGUGUAGGCGGCUAGGUAAGUCAGAUGUGAAAGUUCUGGGCUUAACCGAGAAAGUGCAUUUGAAACUGCCUGGCUUGAGUCUCGUAGAGGAAGGUGGAAUUCCCAGUGUAGAGGUGAAAUUCGUAGAUAUUGGGAGGAACACCGGUGGCGAAGGCGACCUUCUGGGCGAAGACUGACGCUGAGACGCGAAAGCGUGGGGAGCAAACAG
RNAcentral lists this ribosomal RNA (251 nucleotides) under uncultured prokaryote. Its description in RNAcentral is "partial 16S rRNA". It matches the Rfam family "Bacterial small subunit ribosomal RNA", at positions 525 to 775 of the family's 1533-position model. The record is from RNAcentral.